Molecule: ribosomal RNA, 376 nt
Filed under: uncultured organism
Description: partial 16S ribosomal RNA
Rfam family: Bacterial small subunit ribosomal RNA
Source: RNAcentral
GUAGGUGGCAAGCGUUGUCCGGAAUUAUUGGGCGUAAAGCGCGCGCAGGUGGUUCGUUUAAGUCUGAUGUGAAAGACCCCCGGGCUCAACCCGGGGAGGGUCAUUGGAAACUGGGGAACUUGAGUGCAGGAGAGGAAAGUGGAAUUCCACGUGUAGCGGUGAAAUGCGUAGAUAUGUGGAGGAACACCAGUGGCGAAGGCGACUUUCUGGCCUGUAACUGACACUGAGGCGCGAAAGCGUGGGGAGCAAACAGGAUUAGAUACCCUGGUAGUCCACGCCGUAAACGAUGAGUGCUAAGUGUUGGGGGGUUUCCGCCCCUCAGUGCUGCAGCUAACGCAUUAAGCACUCCGCCUGGGGAGUACGGCCGCAAAGACUG